RNAcentral lists this ribosomal RNA (1949 nucleotides) under metagenome. RNAcentral's name for it is "bacterial LSU rRNA". It matches the Rfam family "Bacterial large subunit ribosomal RNA", at positions 1 to 1977 of the family's 2925-position model. The record is from RNAcentral.
UUAAGCGACUAAGCGUACACGGUGGAUGCCCUGGCAGUCAGAGGCGAUGAAGGACGUGCUAAUCUGCGAUAAGCGUCGGUAAGGUGAUAUGAACCGUUAUAACCGGCGAUUUCCGAAUGGGGAAACCCAGUGUGUUUCGACACACUAUCAUUAACUGAAUCCAUAGGUUAAUGAGGCGAACCGGGGGAACUGAAACAUCUAAGUACCCCGAGGAAAAGAAAUCAACCGAGAUUCCCCCAGUAGCGGCGAGCGAACGGGGAGCAGCCCAGAGCCUGAAUCAGUGUGUGUGUUAGUGGAAGCGUCUGGAAAGGCGCGCGAUACAGGGUGACAGCCCCGUACACAAAAAUGCACAUGCUGUGAGCUCGAUGAGUAGGGCGGGACACGUGGUAUCCUGUCUGAAUAUGGGGGGACCAUCCUCCAAGGCUAAAUACUCCUGACUGACCGAUAGUGAACCAGUACCGUGAGGGAAAGGCGAAAAGAACCCCGGCGAGGGGAGUGAAAAAGAACCUGAAACCGUGUACGUACAAGCAGUGGGAGCACGCUUAGGCGUGUGACUGCGUACCUUUUGUAUAAUGGGUCAGCGACUUAUAUUCUGUAGCAAGGUUAACCGAAUAGGGGAGCCGAAGGGAAACCGAGUCUUAACUGGGCGUCUAGUUGCAAGGUAUAGACCCGAAACCCGGUGAUCUAGCCAUGGGCAGGUUGAAGGUUGGGUAACACUAACUGGAGGACCGAACCGACUAAUGUUGAAAAAUUAGCGGAUGACUUGUGGCUGGGGGUGAAAGGCCAAUCAAACCGGGAGAUAGCUGGUUCUCCCCGAAAGCUAUUUAGGUAGCGCCUCGUGAAUUCAUCUCCGGGGGUAGAGCACUGUUUCGGCAAGGGGGUCAUCCCGACUUACCAACCCGAUGCAAACUGCGAAUACCGGAGAAUGUUAUCACGGGAGACACACGGCGGGUGCUAACGUCCGUCGUGAAGAGGGAAACAACCCAGACCGCCAGCUAAGGUCCCAAAGUCAUGGUUAAGUGGGAAACGAUGUGGGAAGGCCCAGACAGCCAGGAUGUUGGCUUAGAAGCAGCCAUCAUUUAAAGAAAGCGUAAUAGCUCACUGGUCGAGUCGGCCUGCGCGGAAGAUGUAACGGGGCUAAACCAUGCACCGAAGCUGCGGCAGCGACGCUUAUGCGUUGUUGGGUAGGGGAGCGUUCUGUAAGCCUGUGAAGGUGUGCUGUGAGGCAUGCUGGAGGUAUCAGAAGUGCGAAUGCUGACAUAAGUAACGAUAAAGCGGGUGAAAAGCCCGCUCGCCGGAAGACCAAGGGUUCCUGUCCAACGUUAAUCGGGGCAGGGUGAGUCGACCCCUAAGGCGAGGCCGAAAGGCGUAGUCGAUGGGAAACAGGUUAAUAUUCCUGUACUUGGUGUUACUGCGAAGGGGGGACGGAGAAGGCUAUGUUGGCCGGGCGACGGUUGUCCCGGUUUAAGCGUGUAGGCUGGUUUUCCAGGCAAAUCCGGAAAAUCAAGGCUGAGGCGUGAUGACGAGGCACUACGGUGCUGAAGCAACAAAUGCCCUGCUUCCAGGAAAAGCCUCUAAGCAUCAGGUAACAUCAAAUCGUACCCCAAACCGACACAGGUGGUCAGGUAGAGAAUACCAAGGCGCUUGAGAGAACUCGGGUGAAGGAACUAGGCAAAAUGGUGCCGUAACUUCGGGAGAAGGCACGCUGAUAUGUAGGUGAAGUCCCUCGCGGAUGGAGCUGAAAUCAGUCGAAGAUACCAGCUGGCUGCAACUGUUUAUUAAAAACACAGCACUGUGCAAACACGAAAGUGGACGUAUACGGUGUGACGCCUGCCCGGUGCCGGAAGGUUAAUUGAUGGGGUCAGCGCAAGCGAAGCUCUUGAUCGAAGCCCCGGUAAACGGCGGCCGUAACUAUAACGGUCCUAAGGUAGCGAAAUUCCUUGUCGGGU